Molecule: transfer RNA, 194 nt
Filed under: Ostreococcus tauri
Lineage: Eukaryota; Viridiplantae; Chlorophyta; Mamiellophyceae; Mamiellales; Bathycoccaceae
Description: tRNA-Met
Source: RNAcentral
GCGGAAUUAACUCAGUUGGUUAGAGUGCAGGUCUCAUAGCAAAACAAAAUACUGCAAUAUGGGCAUCGCGAGAUGCUUCAUAUCUACCAGCCACAAAACUUCACCGAGUGAACGCUCGCGCACGACACGUCGUGCUCCAAGAUUGACUCUCGAGAGUUAUCCUGAAGUCGCCAGUUCGAUCCUGGCAUUCCGCA